AAAACAUAGAAAAUUGGAAAUAAAUAAACAUUAAAUCGCAGCUAUUCAAAAGUAUACUCGACGUUAUGCGACAUGUGUGUAAUUUACACUAAAUUCUGGUACUGAUAAUACAUAUAUUAUAGAUAAGUUGUAUUUCCAAUAUUGAAUAUGUGAUAACAGUUACGUACGUAGCGAUCAUACUUACACAUUAUUGCUUACCAAUUAUUUAUUACGUUACAUUUCCAUUUAUCGCCAUCUGUAAUAAAAUCUUGCGAAAUUUUACUAUAUUUUACUAUAUUUUACUAUAUUUUAUUACUUCGUAUGAAUUUGUUAUGGUUCUAAUUAUCAAGUUGUGAUAUUUUGAAACACGCUGGAGGUACAUCAUAAAAAUAUAGCGUAUUAUGAUCUUAUUUCGUAUACCUUUUUAUUAAUAUUUAUAGUGAAAGUACAUUUAUAAUUGAAACUACUUAUUUACUUAAGUUGUACUUACUCUUACUACUUAUUUACGUAAUAUUUAUUUUUGUCCGGCUGUGUAAACUUAACCUCUAAAUUUUCAAUUGUAUUUUUAUUAUUACAUUAUUCUUAUAAGAUAGUAUGGCUUGUGAAGCUUGUAACGUAAAAUUCAGCUUCUUCACACGCAAGAAACAAUGUAUGGAUUGUUUGAGGCAUUUUUGUUCUGAAUGUGUAAUUAAGCGUUUGGACAAGAUAUUAAGUUGUAAUACUUGUAAUAUGUUGUCACGAAGACCUUUAACACGAAGUCUAAUUGCACAAGUACGGUCUAAAGAUAUACAACGGUAUCUGUUGGCAAAGAAGAUACCGAUUAAAGGAUGUAUUGAAAAGGAAGACUUGAUAAAAUUGUUAAUGACAUUUGCUAGUGGUGCUAAUGUUCGUUUGAGUACGGAAGAUGCAGGAAACAUUGAUAGUUCUCUCCCUAACCGAUCAGCAACUACAAACGAUGAGUAUAAUAGACAAGUUUUUAAUCGUACACACGAAAUCAGUGCUUCAAGGGUUGAUAGCAAUGAAAUUCCAGAAACAAUUCCUAGACUUAACUUUUAUUCGAAUGGAAGAGCAGAACCGAUACAUUCGGUAGAAGAGAAAAUUUCAAAAGUUUCUAAUAUUCAACAUUCCGAUGUAUGUGUAGAAGCACCUAUGAAUCCUGUAAAAUUAUCUGACAUAAAUACAUUAUCAGAACUGGAAUGUUUAAACGUGAAGCAAUUAAAAAAUUUGCUAAGUACAAAUCGAGUUGAUUAUAAAGGCUGCGUAGAAAGAUGCGAAUUAUUGAAUAGAGCUUCCAGAUUAUGGGAAGAAUACAGGCAGUCAAGAACAAAAGCUGAAAUUUUGGACGAAAAUCUGUGCAAAAUUUGUUGGGAUGAACCAGUUGAAUGUAUAAUCCUGGAAUGUGGCCAUAUGGCUUGUUGUUUGAAUUGUGGCAAACAAAUGUCGGAAUGUCCAAUAUGUAAACAGUAUGUAGUGAGGGUAGUGCGAUUUUUUAAAGCUUAACAAAAAUACAGUAAUGUUUAAUACCAUGGAAUAUGUAAUAUUCAAUAAAACAAAAUCGAAAAAGGGCGAAUAUAAUCGCUACCAUCGUGAUAUUUUAGAUUUAGUGUUUAUUGGCACAUUCUAUUGCCAUCAUAGAUUAUAAUAUAAUCAAAAUAAAAUAUAAUCUUUUAUAUUAAUGCAAAUGCAAUGAAAUAACAUGUAUCGACAUUUUCUAUAAAUAUUUUUAUUAAAAAAUGUGAUCGAAAAGAAGGAGGCACUUAUUUGGAUGCCUAUUAGAUAUAUCCACCGAGUGCAUCCUCAAAGCUGAACGACGACUAUGGUCGACAAUACGCUACGCUACGCAAUUGUUGCCGUUCUCAUUUGCGAUUGUCAAGUAACACUACUACGAAGCGCCGUAUCGAAGAAGUUGAAAGUUUAAAGUAAUCAAAUUUAGUAACGACCACUGUAUCUUUUUAUCCUUAUUUCUCUUUGCCGAAAAUAAAUUGAUUGAAAUUGGUAA
Molecule: RNA transcript, 1978 nt
Organism: Bombus impatiens (common eastern bumble bee)
Lineage: Eukaryota; Metazoa; Arthropoda; Insecta; Hymenoptera; Apidae
Gene name: E3 ubiquitin-protein ligase RNF34
Exons: 7
Source: RefSeq, a predicted model, not a curated record